RNAcentral lists this ribosomal RNA (492 nucleotides) under uncultured bacterium. Its description in RNAcentral is "partial 16S ribosomal RNA". It matches the Rfam family "Bacterial small subunit ribosomal RNA", at positions 29 to 507 of the family's 1533-position model. The record is from RNAcentral.
AGUGAACGCUGGCGGUAGGCCUAACACAUGCAAGUCGAACGGCAGCACAGUAAGAGCUUGCUCUUACGGGUGGCGAGUGGCGGACGGGAGAGGAAUACAUCGGAAUCUACUUUUUCGUGGGGGAUAACGUAGGGAAACUUACGCUAAUACCGCAUACGACCUACGGGUGAAAGCAGGGGAUCUUCGGACCUUGCGCGAUUGAAUGAGCCGAUGUCGGAUUAGCUAGUUGGCGGGGUAAAGGCCCACCAAGGCGACGAUCCGUAGCUGGUCUGAGAGGAUGAUCAGCCCCACUGGAACUGAGACACGGUCCAGACUCCUACGGGAGGCAGCAGUGGGGAAUAUUGGACAAUGGGCGCAAGCCUGAUCCAGCCAUACCGCGUGGGUGAAGAAGGCCUUCGGGUUGUAAAGCCCUUUUGUUGGGAAAGAAAAGCAGCAGGUUAAUACCCCGCUGUUCUGACGGUACCCAAAGAAUAAGCACCGGCUAACUUCGUG